RNAcentral lists this ribosomal RNA (207 nucleotides) under uncultured bacterium. Its description in RNAcentral is "partial 16S ribosomal RNA". It matches the Rfam family "Bacterial small subunit ribosomal RNA", at positions 568 to 774 of the family's 1533-position model. The record is from RNAcentral.
CGCGUAGGCUGAUUAGUAAAUCACGUGUGAAAUUCCAAGGCUUAACCUUGGAGCCGCAUAUGAAACUACUAAUCUAGAGGAGAAGCGGAGAGAAUGGAAUUUCCCAUGUAGCGGUGAAAUGCGUGGAUAUGGGGAGGAACAUCGGUGGCGAAAGCGGUUUUCUAGCUUUUAACUGACGCCGAGGCGCGAAAGCGAGGGGAGCAAACA